RNAcentral lists this ribosomal RNA (245 nucleotides) under uncultured Lachnospiraceae bacterium. RNAcentral describes it as "partial 16S ribosomal RNA". It matches the Rfam family "Bacterial small subunit ribosomal RNA", at positions 524 to 768 of the family's 1533-position model. Lineage: Bacteria; Bacillati; Bacillota; Clostridia; Lachnospirales; Lachnospiraceae. The record is from RNAcentral.
UACGUAUGGAGCAAGCGUUAUCCGGAUUUACUGGGUGUAAAGGGUGCGUAGGUGGCCAUGUAAGUCUGAUGUGAAAUACCGGGGCUUAACCCCGGAGCUGCAUUGGAAACUGGGUGGCUUGAGACCGGGAGGGGCAGGCGGAAUUCCUAGUGUAGCGGUGAAAUGCGUAGAUAUUAGGAAGAACACCGGUGGCGAAGGCGGCCUGCUGGACCGGGACUGACACUGAGGCACGAAAGCGUGGGGAG